Rattus norvegicus (Norway rat) is the source of this 3251-nucleotide RNA transcript. It is a transcript of the gene named cerebellin 2 precursor, with no coding region annotated. The record is from RefSeq and is marked provisional. Lineage: Eukaryota; Metazoa; Chordata; Mammalia; Rodentia; Muridae.
UCCGUGAUUGUGCAUCUCCGCUCUCCAGGCGCAGCUCGGAACCCCGUGUGUCUCCCCGGGUCUUUAGAGCCCAGAGACUGCGUUUUAAUAAAUACGAGUGGUGCCAACGCGCUCCACCAGCCCCGGGGUUCAGAGCAGCAGACGCAUAAACUCAGGCAGGAAGAGCCUCUUUAAUCUCUGCCAAAAGCUGACAUUUCACUAACGGGAGAUUUUGGAAUCGCAGUUCUAAAACCAUUAUAUUACCGAGGCUUUUCCUCUCUUAAAAAAUACUUUUCCUUUUUUUUUUUUUUGUUUUUAAAGUACCCUCCCCCACUUAAAAUUAUGAAUGCGGCCACUCUGUUCAAGAUCAAGACUUGGAGGGAAUUUGGAAAAGAAAAAGAAUCUGGAAGAAACACGGCUGGUGCUUCCGAGGGCGCAUAGUUUUAAGACGGUACCUAAGAGGACUGCGCUAGAUGUUUAGGUGAGAGACGGACUCCUGGGCUUGGCAAGUUGGUAGGGGGAAGUCGCAGGGGGAAUCCACGGGGCUGUGGACUCUAGGACAGAGGGAGCUAGGAGUCUAUAGUUGGCAGCUCCGAGCUAUGCCUUCUGGAGUCUGGAGCAGAGGCGGGGACCCAGGAAUCCUUUUAGCGAUGUUCAGGAUAGGUGCAUUGGCUAGUGGACUGUUCCGGACCCGGAAGAGUCAAGCUGCGCGCCUUAGUGCGGCUCCUAGCCUCGCUGCGGCUCUAAGCCGAGCGGGAAGCAAGUAGGUUCCAGGCACCGCCGUGCGCGGAGCAGCGCUCGGUGUUGGGCGCCCUGGGCUCCUGGGGCCGGGGCGUGGUGUGCUUGCGGAGCAGGAGCCGACCGAGGGCAGAGGAGGCAGGGCGGGGCGGAGCAGUUAUUGGCCAGGCGCUGGAAGAAGGGUCGUGCUCCGAAGUGUCCUCCUCCCGCUAGCUCCCGCCUGCCUCAUUUUCUCUAAGCAGAACAACUUCUCCAACAUCGGUACUCUCCCGUCAUGGACGUUCCAGGUCUGCAGGUGCCUUCCUUCUGAGAAUCAUUUGGCCUUGACCAUCUAAGGCGAGGACCUACCCCAGAGAAAGCUACUACUCUAGCCCUGCGUAUUCCUGUGCGCACCCAGCCAGCCAGCCCUCCGGCUUCUGCAGGCCUUGACCUAUACAGGGCGCCCCCCAGCCCAGAUGCCCGCUCCUGGCCGGGGCCCCAGAGGGCCGCUGCUGAGCAUGCCCGGGCGCCGGGGGGCGCUGCGUGAGCCGGCCGACUUUGGCUCCAGCCUGGGGGCGGCGCUGGCCCUGCUGUUGCUGCUGCUGCCCGCCUGCUGCCCGGUAAAGGCUCAGAACGACACGGAGCCCAUCGUGCUAGAGGGCAAGUGCCUGGUAGUGUGCGAUUCCAGUCCAUCGGGGGAUGGCGCUGUCACUUCUUCCCUGGGCAUAUCUGUGCGCUCAGGCAGUGCCAAGGUGGCCUUCUCCGCUACUCGGAGCACCAACCACGAGCCUUCAGAGAUGAGCAACCGUACCAUGACCAUCUACUUCGACCAGGUUUUAGUAAACAUUGGCAACCACUUUGACCUUGCCUCGAGUAUAUUUGUAGCACCAAGGAAAGGAAUUUAUAGCUUCAGCUUCCACGUGGUCAAAGUGUACAACAGACAAACUAUCCAGGUCAGUUUAAUGCAGAACGGCUACCCGGUGAUCUCUGCCUUUGCUGGAGACCAGGAUGUUACCAGGGAAGCAGCCAGCAAUGGUGUUCUGCUUCUCAUGGAAAGAGAAGACAAAGUUCAUCUCAAACUGGAGAGAGGCAACCUCAUGGGAGGCUGGAAAUACUCCACAUUCUCGGGCUUCUUGGUUUUUCCUCUAUAGACACAGAGCCACCAGGAUGGUGGGAAGGUUUUGAUCAGGACCCAGGGAUCUGCCCCUGUAACACCUUGAACUUGUCUGACUAGGAUGGCUUGGGCCGACUUCCAUCAGAUUAUUGCCGUAGAAGAAUGACUUUCUUCUAAAGCUCCAGUAUUUUCUUUGACUAUUGACAAUUCCUCGGGAACCUGGCCGCUAAUUAGUUUUAGACGACAAGGUCUUAAGGAGAAAUGAAAUUAUUGAUUUGAGCAAUUUGUACCUGUGAUUGUAAAGUCAAUAUCGGAUUUUAUUGUUGGAACCAUUGACUUAACUUCUCUUGUUUGUACAUUGUAUCUUGUCCUGAUGACAUAGAUGCUGCUGACCCUCAGAUGGAUUGCACGCUUCAGUCAGGGCUUCAAGAGCCCAGCAAAGAACCACCUACCAGACAGUCUUUGACCUGUGUUCUGUGUGUGUGUAGCCUUAAGAAAAAGAAUGGCUUCAUUUUCAUUCUGUAGCUUUCCCCUAGGGUUUUGGGGAUAUUGGGAGGGAGCUGGGCAUUGGGAACUUGUCGAAAAGUGCUUUAUCCCGAGAAGCAAAAUUUGCACGAUUGGACUGCAGUUUUUGUUUUGUACCGUCCGUGAUUUUCUUUUUUUCCUCUGGAAGCUUUCCUUCCCUUCCUCAGGUUUCACUCCUCAAACCUACUUAGUUUUCAUGCUGGGGUCUCAGAGAGGGGAAAAAAAGAACAACAAUAACAACAAACAAAACAGAACAAAACUUAAGUUCAGUCCUUGUAUGAGAUCAGAGGAAACAGAACAAAAUCUGCACACUUUGUUUUGGAUAAAGGAAACCGAGAAUGGAAAAAGUCUUUAUUUCAAAAUUAUACUCUGGGAUCCCUUAGUAACCUGGCAUUGCUCUUUGCUCAUGAAUCCCUUAACAAUGGCGGAGCUGACGUGGCCUAAUCCCCUUUGCUUUUCCUCUGGAUAUGUCUCAGUAGUGAGUUAGAGCUGCCUCCGAGUGGCCACACAGUUACAAGGGAUGCUUCAAAGAAACAGGACCAGUGUCUCUUCCUGGAGAUCUUCCUUUGAUCUGUCAAGGAGAGGGUUGUGUUGACUGACUGAUGCUCUGUGGAUGAACAUCUGGCCAGAAGCCACCUGGACUGGAAAUCUCAGCAGUUAAAGGUACUGGCUGCUGUACCCCAAGGGUGGCUUUCCAAACCCUGCUUCUUUUGGCAUCUUGUGCUACAACACUAUUAAGUUGCAACUGUGAGAGACCUGGUGCGGUAUUUGUGUGCCAAGGAAAUGUCACUAAUCCCAAAGCAAUCAAAGAUGUGACCUCAAACUGGAUGUUAAUUUGUCCUUUGUGUAACAAUGUAACCAAAAUAUUGAUGAUAAAACUCAUAAUUUAAGAUUCAGAAUAAAUGGAUUUGACGUC